UGACUUCUUUGUAUAAUCGCGCGGAAACGCGAGGAAAGUCCGGGCAUCGCAGAGCGGGAUAACUGCUAACGGCAGCCGGAGGCGACUCCAGGGCGAGUGCAACAGAAAUAAACCGCCCCGCGUUUUUCGGAAAACGCGGGGCAAGGGUGGAAAGGCGGGGUAAGAGCCCACCGGGGCGACGGAGACGUCGCCGCCGUGUAAACCCUAUCCGAUGCAACGCCGAUUUAACGUCGGGGAAACGCGUCUGCUCGGCGCGCCCGACAAAAGGCGGCAACCUCACUUUAAAGUGAAACGACCGUAUUGGCGACAAUACGGCAAGAUAAAUGAUUAUACGCGACAAAAUCCGGCUUACAGAAGGAGUCACGCC
RNAcentral lists this RNase P RNA (367 nucleotides) under Oscillospiraceae bacterium. RNAcentral's name for it is "RNase P RNA component class A". It matches the Rfam family "Bacterial RNase P class A". Rfam says of the family: Ribonuclease P (RNase P) is a ubiquitous endoribonuclease, found in archaea, bacteria and eukarya as well as chloroplasts and mitochondria. Lineage: Bacteria; Bacillati; Bacillota; Clostridia; Eubacteriales; Oscillospiraceae. The record is from RNAcentral.